This 540-nucleotide small RNA is filed under the name Arabidopsis thaliana (thale cress). Its description in RNAcentral is "ATSL218590". Lineage: Eukaryota; Viridiplantae; Streptophyta; Magnoliopsida; Brassicales; Brassicaceae. The record is from RNAcentral.
AAAAAACAAUACCGCAAAUACGACAAAAGAGCAUAAAAUUAAUGACAUUAACGAAAUGAGAACGCUCCGAUGGUAAAAGUCACGACGAAAAUUUUGAUGUUGCCACGAGGAAACUUUUGAUGUUGCCACGAGUGAACAGCGAUCUGAAAUCAACUCUCAAACUUUAGAAAAAACGGUGCUUACACUCUAACAAGACUACUUGCAAUGGAGGUGUUGAAUAAUUAUUCAACUGUUUAAUUAAUAGAAAGGGGGUGUUGAAAACUGAAAAAACCAACGUGGAUUUUAGGGUGUUGAAUCUGUAUAACAUGUUGAAUUAUUAUUUUUUGGGCUCAUGUAUGCCACAUGUCACUAUUUUAUUAGAUGGUGUGUUUCACACACUCAAAACGAAAAUAGAGGGUUUUCUAUUAUUAUUUUUCCGAUAAAAAUAAUAAAUUAUUGUGAAGCUGACACUGGUUAUAUUAUUAUUUGAGAUUUUAGAGAUUUUUAUCUCAGGCCUAUCUAUCUACAAUCAAUUAUUAUGUAGCAAAUAGUUUUAAAAAA